RNAcentral lists this ribosomal RNA (253 nucleotides) under uncultured bacterium. Its description in RNAcentral is "partial 16S ribosomal RNA". It matches the Rfam family "Bacterial small subunit ribosomal RNA", at positions 524 to 776 of the family's 1533-position model. The record is from RNAcentral.
UACAGAGGUCCCAAGCGUUGUUCGGAUUCAUUGGGCGUAAAGGGUGCGUAGGCGGCGCGGUAAGUCGGGUGUGAAAUCUCGGGGCUUAACUCCGAAACUGCAUUCGAUACUGCCGUGCUUGAGGACUGGAGAGGAGACUGGAAUUUACGGUGUAGCGGUGAAAUGCGUAGAUAUCGUAAGGAAGACCAGUGGCGAAGGCGGGUCUCUGGACAGUUCCUGACGCUGAGGCACGAAAGCGUGGGGAGCAAACAGG